This 254-nucleotide ribosomal RNA is filed under the name uncultured bacterium. RNAcentral describes it as "partial 16S ribosomal RNA". It matches the Rfam family "Bacterial small subunit ribosomal RNA", at positions 524 to 776 of the family's 1533-position model. The record is from RNAcentral.
UACGUAGGACCCAAGCGUUAUCCGGAGUGACUGGGCGUAAAGAGUUGCGUAGGUGGCUUGUAAAGUGAAUAGUGAAAUCUGGGGGCUCAACCUCCAGGCUAUUAUUCAAACUCACAAGCUCGAGAAUGAUAGAGGUCACUGGAAUUUCUGAAGUAGGGGUAAUAUCCGUAGAUAUCAGAAGGAACACCAAUGGCGUAGGCAGGUGACUGGAUCAUUUCUGACACUGAGGCACGAAAGCGUGGGGAGCGAACCGG